UACGUAGGGGGCGAGCGUUGUCCGGAUUUACUGGGCGUAAAGCGCGUGUAGGCGGCUGUCUAAGUUGGGUGUGAAAGCCCGGGGCUCAACCCCGGGACGCCGCCCAAGACUGGACGGCUUGAGGACGGAAGAGGGGCGUGGAAUUCCAGGUGUAGCGGUGAAAUGCGUAGAGAUCUGGAGGAACACCCGUGGCGAAGGCGGCGCCCUGGUCCGUUACUGACGCUGAGACGCGAAAGCCAGGGGAGCAAACGGG
RNAcentral lists this ribosomal RNA (253 nucleotides) under uncultured bacterium. RNAcentral's name for it is "partial 16S ribosomal RNA". It matches the Rfam family "Bacterial small subunit ribosomal RNA", at positions 524 to 776 of the family's 1533-position model. The record is from RNAcentral.